GUAGAAAUAUUUCCUGUGCUGUUGCAAGCCAGCAGCAGACUGAUUUGCAAAGCAAGCUGUCUUUGUGAAGACAGCUCAAUUCUUAGAAAUAUCACAAACAGGAAAAUGGGAUAAAAUAAGCAAACAACAUUUCCAUCAUUCCAGUUCCAUGACGGUCUUUCUCCUGCGGGCAUCCAAGCACAACUCAAAGCUCAACUGAUUACAUGUAGGCAUCUACUUCAGAUAUUUGUACAAGAAGGAAUGGGCUCUGAAUUUUGACUAUGUUUUCUAGACACAAAGGGAAGUGUAUGGACCUGACGAUGAGGUUGUCACAGAUGUCACUAUGGAUCAAUCUGGGGCUCUUCUCCAUCUUGCACAAGUAGCCUUUUUGUUCUUUCUGAAAACGGUAGACUUGCUCAGUCUGCCUUGUGCGCACAAGACAUUGGAUUCUACUAUUUUUUAGACAGAAGUCACCUAUUCUAAGACUCAAGCUCACUAAAGUUUUUCAAAGUAACCAGGAACUCUCAAAAGGAAGUGGAAAGAAGUCCAAAAAGAAGAGAAGAUUGCUGCGUGAGGUGAGGUGCUGUUUAUUCCCAAUGAAGGAGGUGACUCCUGACCAAGGCAAGAACAACCUAAUAGGGAUUAACCUUUCUGUCUAUCUAAUUCAAAUGUCCCAAAAUGCCCUAAAGCUAUGGAGGUGUUUGGGGUCUUCCGGUGGAAAAGCUCUGUGAACUGAAGCUGGAUGACCACCUACUGAAGAAUCUGUCACCAACCACACAUGGAUUUUGGAAAGAUUGUGUUUGUCUCUAUGAGGGAUGAAUUUGCAUGCAGUCAAAGGAAGUUCACCGACCUCUGAAUGGAGCAAUAAACAGUGUGCCCACUUUUCACAGCCUGCACUGGGCCACCAAACAAAUGAGUUUACUACUUCUUUAUUUGCCAGCACACCAGGGAAUUAAAUUUUUCUAUUAACCACGGGGCUGUUUUUACAUCAGCUGAAGGUAUCUAGCUAAUGUUACACAACACUGUUACAAAGCUAUUACUUCAGAAAUUGAUGUUAGCAAAAUUCUGGGUGAUGCUUAGACAAGCCAAUGGAAGGGAAGGGCAGGUAAGUAAGAUACUUAAGCCAUAAACUAGGUAGCCUGUGUACAUUAUAAACAUUAAUCUUUGCAAAAUAGACACACGGCUAUUCCCUGAACGUCACCAGCUAUUAAUUGCCUAAUCUGUGAUUGUAAACACGCUUCCAUUGUUUCCAAAGCAUUUAGGGAUUUAAAGGCUGAGAACAGUUAAAAAGCAGUCAAAAUUUAUUACCAAAUAGCUUGUUCUCCACACAGAUUUCCUUAACAGCUUUUUCCUUGGAAGGAUUUGAAAUUGCACCAUUUCAUAUCUCAAAGCAGCCAUCUCAGAGAUAAAUUGGAAGCAUUGAAGAUGAAGAAGGCCUUAGUAAGUCUUCAGAAACUCAUAGAUGGGUGAUCUUGCUGUAAAAAUUUGCAAAGUACUCACAUAUGAACAUAAGACUGCCUAUACCAGGCAAGACUAACAGUAUAUUUUUCCCAGGGUCCUGCCACCAGCAGAGACCAUAAGCAAAUGCCUAGUGCAUACGAGUAUAAGAAAAAGCAAAUUAAAUGAUAAUUUCCCCACAUGAUCUGCCAGCCAUCAUCAACGGCUUUCCAGCAGUACUUCUGCUCAGCAUAAGAUAUGCUGGCAUUGAUACAGGCAUCCUUCACCUUAGUAAACUUAUAGUAUUAGCCCAGUGGUCAGGCUGAAUUUUACACUCCAUUUUACAGUAUUUCUCCCCCGCCCCCCCAGUCUUUCUCUCCAUUAAUCCACUGUCAGCUCCUUGCCACAUCAGGCUAAAUGAGGUCUCUCAAGCUAUAGGAAUCCCGUGAUGCCAGACUCCUGGCUCGGACCACGUAGUGACGGACACACCAUGCAAUGGAUGGCCUGUCACAGCUUUCAAAAAUCAGCCUUGUGGCAUUGCAUUCUCCUGGCUGCAGUGCUGAACGGGAUCUGGCUGUGUUUCCCAGCACAGGGAAACCUGAUUUCUUCCACUCCUGGUCACUGAUUUGUGCAUUCUCAUCAGCAUUUCCUUCCCUCUCUAAAAUAACUCCCCUCAUAUUUUACUUGUAACUGAUUUCUUUGUAGAAGUGACAAUGUAUGUGUGUAUGUUUGUGUAUGUGUUUAUUAGAGAAAUGCAAUGUGAGUGGAAUAACAAUAUGCAUUGGUGAGAGCUGGCUAGAAAAAUAAGCUGUAUUUUGCAAAAAAACAGUCUUUCAUGUUUUGAGAAACACAUCUGAUGAUUCAUUUUGAUCUUCCUCCUUUUCAUUUUUAUUGAUGUAAAAUAAAGUCAGUUUCUAAUCAAAAAGCCUUUUUGGAAACAAGAAGUUUUAAUUUACGAAACUUCUAAAAAGUUAUCAUUUGAUGUUUUGAAGCUUUUUCUCCCACUUUAUUUUUGAAACAAAAUUUCUUCAAAAUCAAUAUGGCUUUGUGGAAAAUACUGGAAGCAUUGACGAAAGUUUCUGGAAAAUAUCAAUAAGCAAUGAGUUAUCAAUGAGCAGAGAGUAAAUACAACCAUGUAAGUGUCUUGGAAGAAAUAACUGACUACAAAAAUGUGUGUGCAGCAUUCCCAUAAAAGAAGAAUCUGUAGCUGCCUGCUCUUAAGAUCCAGUGGGUAGCUUUGUAGAUAGCAAUGCUUCCUGCAGUUUCCUUUCCUUUGUAACAUGCUGCAUAGCACUUUGCUCUGCUCUAAAUUUGUCUACAGUGAUCAGGCUUGCAUAUAAUUACUAUUCAUGUGUGCUCUCUAUGCUUUAGUCAUCACUCCUAAAUAUUGAAGAGCAUCUCUCUGUAAAAAGUAGAAGGAAUAAAAAUACGCUGCCCUUUUGGAGGUAUGCCAUUGUUUGCAUUAACGUUGCUUGGUGCUUCUAGAAAAUCUGGAAGUUGAACCUUUCCCUCUCAACGCUGAAUCAGUUUUUCACAAGGCUCAUCCUCGAGUUGUUCAACUCCAGUUCUUGAAAUCAUAAAAGCAGUAUUGGCUUUGCUUCCAAGACAAGGUCAAUAUAGCUUCAAGGUCUUACUCUGAAAUCUUGGUUGGGGCUGUAAGUGCUAUAUGUGUUUAGCAGAUAUGUUAUGUUUCUAUGAAAUGUUAAAAGAAAAUCACUUUGGCCAGUUGAAAUCUUAGAUUUCCAUAUAGAAGGGCCCACAGUAGUACUGGAAGCUCCUAAUCCUACUAAAAGUAUGAAGCCUUUUUCUAUGCUAUGUCAGAGAGAAAACAGUAAGUUAUACAAUAAAGGACUGCCUUGUUCCUGCUUGCCAGAAUGGAUUCUGAUACAAAGUGGUGGCAGGUGAGAAAACCAUUAACAGCCAAAAGGAUCCACAAUUUCUAGUAAGAGGAGAAAAGAAAUAAGUCAGGAUAAAGCCUGACAUGUCUCCGGAAUUUCAGUUGUCCUACAGCAGCUUUUUCAACAAGGCA
This is a long non-coding RNA of Dromaius novaehollandiae (emu), 3445 nucleotides long. RefSeq lists it as uncharacterized. The record is from RefSeq and is a predicted model, not a curated record. The transcript is spliced from 5 exons. NCBI's taxonomy places the organism in Eukaryota, Metazoa, Chordata, Aves, Casuariiformes, Dromaiidae.